RNAcentral lists this ribosomal RNA (238 nucleotides) under uncultured bacterium. RNAcentral's name for it is "partial 16S ribosomal RNA". It matches the Rfam family "Bacterial small subunit ribosomal RNA", at positions 96 to 334 of the family's 1533-position model. The record is from RNAcentral.
CGGCGGACGGGUGAGUAACGCGUGGGUAACCUGCCUCGUACAGGGGGAUAACAGUUGGAAACGGCUGCUAAUACCGCAUAAGCGCACAGUACCGCAUGGUACCGUGUGAAAAACUCCGGUGGUAUGAGAUGGACCCGCGUCUGAUUAGGUAGUUGGUGGGGUAACGGCCUACCAAGCCGACGAUCAGUAGCCGACCUGAGAGGGUGACCGGCCACAUUGGGACUGAGACACGGCCCAG